Molecule: ribosomal RNA, 897 nt
Filed under: Staphylococcus aureus
Lineage: Bacteria; Bacillati; Bacillota; Bacilli; Caryophanales; Staphylococcaceae
Description: bacterial SSU rRNA
Rfam family: Bacterial small subunit ribosomal RNA
Source: RNAcentral
GAGUAACACGUGGAUAACCUACCUAUAAGACUGGGAUAACUUCGGGAAACCGGAGCUAAUACCGGAUAAUAUUUUGAACCGCAUGGUUCAAAAGUGAAAGACGGUCUUGCUGUCACUUAUAGAUGGAUCCGCGCUGCAUUAGCUAGUUGGUAAGGUAACGGCUUACCAAGGCAACGAUGCAUAGCCGACCUGAGAGGGUGAUCGGCCACACUGGAACUGAGACACGGUCCAGACUCCUACGGGAGGCAGCAGUAGGGAAUCUUCCGCAAUGGGCGAAAGCCUGACGGAGCAACGCCGCGUGAGUGAUGAAGGUCUUCGGAUCGUAAAACUCUGUUAUUAGGGAAGAACAUAUGUGUAAGUAACUGUGCACAUCUUGACGGUACCUAAUCAGAAAGCCACGGCUAACUACGUGCCAGCAGCCGCGGUAAUACGUAGGUGGCAAGCGUUAUCCGGAAUUAUUGGGCGUAAAGCGCGCGUAGGCGGUUUUUUAAGUCUGAUGUGAAAGCCCACGGCUCAACCGUGGAGGGUCAUUGGAAACUGGAAAACUUGAGUGCAGAAGAGGAAAGUGGAAUUCCAUGUGUAGCGGUGAAAUGCGCAGAGAUAUGGAGGAACACCAGUGGCGAAGGCGACUUUCUGGUCUGUAACUGACGCUGAUGUGCGAAAGCGUGGGGAUCAAACAGGAUUAGAUACCCUGGUAGUCCACGCCGUAAACGAUGAGUGCUAAGUGUUAGGGGGUUUCCGCCCCUUAGUGCUGCAGCUAACGCAUUAAGCACUCCGCCUGGGGAGUACGACCGCAAGGUUGAAACUCAAAGGAAUUGACGGGGACCCGCACAAGCGGUGGAGCAUGUGGUUUAAUUCGAAGCAACGCGAAGAACCUUACCAAAUCUUGACAUCCUU